Molecule: ribosomal RNA, 372 nt
Filed under: uncultured organism
Description: partial 16S ribosomal RNA
Rfam family: Bacterial small subunit ribosomal RNA
Source: RNAcentral
GUAGGUGGCAAGCGUUGUCCGGAAUUAUUGGGCGUAAAGCGCGCGCAGGCGGUUCUUUAAGUCUGAUGUGAAAGCCCACGGCUCAACCGUGGAGGGUCAUUGGAAACUGGAGAACUUGAGUACAGAAGAGGAAAGCGGAAUUCCACGUGUAGCGGUGAAAUGCGUAGAGAUGUGGAGGAACACCAGUGGCGAAGGCGACUUUCUGGUCUGUAUCUGACGCUGAGGCGCGAAAGCGUGGGGGGAGCAAACAGGAUUAGAUACCCUGGUGGUCCACGCCGUAAACGAUGAGUGCUAAGUGUUAGGGGGUUUCCGCCCCUUAGUGCUGCAGCUAACGCAUUAAGCACUCCGCCUGGGAGUACGGCCGCAAGGCUG